This 497-nucleotide ribosomal RNA is filed under the name uncultured bacterium. Its description in RNAcentral is "partial 16S ribosomal RNA". It matches the Rfam family "Bacterial small subunit ribosomal RNA", at positions 28 to 507 of the family's 1533-position model. The record is from RNAcentral.
GAUGAACGCUGGCGGCGUGCCUAAUACAUGCAAGUCGAGCGAACAGACGAGGAGCUUGCUCCUCUGACGUUAGCGGCGGACGGGUGAGUAACACGUGGAUAACCUACCUAUAAGACUGGGAUAACUUCGGGACACCGGCGCUAAUACCGGAUAAUAUAUUGAACCGCAUGGUUCAAUAGUGAAAGACGGUUUUGCUGUCACUAAUAGCUGGAUCCGCGCCGCAUUAGCUAGUUGGUACGGUAACGGCUUACCAAGGCGAGGAUGCGUAGCCGACCUGAGAGGGUGAUCGGCCACACUGGAACUGAGACACGGUCCAGACUCCUACGGGAGGCAGCAGUAGGGUAUCUUACGCAAUGGGCGGAAGCCUGGCGGAGCAACGCCGCGUGAGUGAUGAAGGUCUUCGGAUCGUAAAACUCUGUUAUUAGGGAAGAACAAAUGUGUAAGUAACUAUGCACGUAUUGACGGUACCGAGUCAGAAAGCCACGGCUAACUACGUG